This is a long non-coding RNA of Oryctolagus cuniculus (rabbit), 1207 nucleotides long. RefSeq lists it as uncharacterized. Lineage: Eukaryota; Metazoa; Chordata; Mammalia; Lagomorpha; Leporidae. The record is from RefSeq and is a predicted model, not a curated record.
AGCUUAGAGAUUCAUGGAAGGAAUGUCAACAACAUCCCAAAUGAUGAUGCAGCUGAAGGGACAUGGUUUCUGCUUCUCUCCAACACCUGUCACCACACAAAGUUAAGGCACCAAAAGGAUGGACUGGAAUGGACUGUCAAAAUUAAACUUCAGGACUGCAGUGCAGGAACAGUGAGAAUGCUACCCAGGUAAUCUGCAGGGCAUCAUGGGAGUCGUGAAGGUCACGUGUGGUGGUCACUGGGGAGUGCCCAGCGCCCAGGUGCUGCUGAGGAGGGCCAGCGAGUUUCCUGGGGAUCGCUGGGAUGUCUCCCUGUGAAGCACCGGGCAUCCCGUGAUCCUGCCUUUCCUUCCUCUGAGCCACAUCCCCUACCGGCGACUGACUACUGCCUCAGAGGCUGACAGUGGUCAGCACCCACACCUAACAGGACUAGCCAUGGCUGCAAAGUGUGCCUGCUCCCUGGGGGUCCCUUCACUCUAGUGCCCAGAUGUGGGGUUGGCUCUCUGUUUGCUUCUGUAAAGUCACUUCCACUCUCAUGGGGAUUCACUCAUGGGAAUUCAGGCCAAGGCAUCAGACAAUGGGAGGGUGGAGAACAGUGCUGAAGGUCAGUGAGCUCUCUUCUGAGAUGUUCUCCAGCUGACCUCUAAACUGCGGUCUCAGUGUAACCUUGGGUUGCUCUCAUUUUUAAGAAGAUUAAUUUAUUUUUGUUUGAAUGUUAGAGUUAUACAGAGAAAGGGAGAGACGCAGAGACACACAGAGAGCUUCCAUCUGCUGGUUCACUCCCCAGAUGGCUGCAACAGCUGAGGCUGGGCCAGGCUGAAGCCAGGAAAUUUCUUUCAGGUCUCCUACAUGGGUGGCAGCUGCCCAAACACUUGGUCCAUCUUCUGUGGCCUUUUCCUAGGACAUCACCAGGGAGCUGAAUCAGAAGUGGAAUAGCCAGGAUGUAAACCAGCACCCAUAUGGGAUGCCAACAUUGCAGGAGGCAGCUUUACCCAUUAUACCACAAUGCAGGGCCCAUGGGUUGCUCUCAUUUUCUACUACCUCAAGGUUCAUUCAGGAGGUGGCAUCACAGAAACUGUGGUUCACUCACUCAAGGUUGAUAUCAUGUUUCUUUUGGAAUAGAAACUGACGUUUUGGCCUUUUUCCAGCACAUUGCCAUUCAUAUUUCUCUCAUUGAUACCAGUAAUUGAUUAAAAUAUUUGAAAUCUG